CUGGUGUAUGUGAAGAGUCCCUUGAAGGAAAGCAUCCCAGAGAUCCACAAGAUGCUAGAGAGGACCAGGCACAGCAGAGUGUACACACGGUCCUGAUAAAGACCAUGGCCAAAGGAGAGCAAGGAGAACUAUAAAAACCCAAGGCAAAGACUCUGAAAGCUAGGCAAGCUUGAAGAAGUGACCUGGCCACCGGUGCCCCAGCCCUCCAGCACAGGGAUCUCUCUCCUCCAUGGUCUCAAUGGAUGGUUCUCUAGAAAAUGCUGGCUCUCUCCAGGAAGUAACCAGAUCCCGCCCUCCUGGGAACUUGCAGGCUAGUUUGGGAGACUACAUUUAUUCAUUCACUCAAUAAAUAUUGAUUGAGCA
Mastomys coucha (southern multimammate mouse) is the source of this 363-nucleotide long non-coding RNA. RefSeq lists it as uncharacterized. The transcript is spliced from 2 exons. Lineage: Eukaryota; Metazoa; Chordata; Mammalia; Rodentia; Muridae. The record is from RefSeq and is a predicted model, not a curated record.